AGUGAACGCUGGCGGUAGGCCUAAUACAUGCAAGUCGAACGGUAGCACAGUAUGCGCUUGCUAUUACGGGUGGCGAGUGACGGACGGGUGAGGAAUACAUCGGCAUCUAUUUUUUCGUGGGGGAUAACGUAGGGCAACUUACGCUAAUACCGCAUACCACCUAAGAGUGAAAGCAGGGGAUCUUCGUACCUUGCGCGCACGAAUAAGUCGAUGUGCGAUUUACUAGUUGGCGGGGUAAAGGCACACCAAGGCAACCAUCCGUACAUAGUCUGCCAGGAUGAUCAGCCACACUGGAACUGGAACACGGUCAAGACUCCUAGGGGAGGCAGCGGUGGGGAAUAUUGGACAUUGAGCGCAGGCCUGAUCCAGCCAUACCGGUUGGUGGAGGAGGGCCUUCGGGUUGUAAAGCCCGUUUGUUGAGAAGAAAAAGCAGCAGGGUAAUACCCCGCUGAUCUGACGGUACCCAAAGAAUAAGCACCGGCUAACUUCGUG
Molecule: ribosomal RNA, 492 nt
Filed under: uncultured bacterium
Lineage: Bacteria
Description: partial 16S ribosomal RNA
Rfam family: Bacterial small subunit ribosomal RNA
Source: RNAcentral